AUGUUUUGGAAAGACAAAAAGCGAUACAGUAGUAGCAGUUCCCAAAGUAGUGAGAUUAAUAUCAAGAGCAAUUCUGUGGAUUCUAGCCUUGGGGGUCUUUCACGAUCCAGCACUGUGGCCAGCCUUGAUACAGAUUCUACCAAAAGCUCAGGACAAAGCAACAAUUCAGAUACCUGUGCAGAAUUUCGAAUAAAAUAUGUAGGUGUCAUUGAGAAGCUGAAACUGUCUAAGGGGAAAGGUCUGGAAGGGCCACUAGACCUGAUAAAUUUACAUAAACGUUGCCCAACAAGAAGUUGCCUUUUGUUCCUCUGGAAGAAGAAUUUAUUAUGGGAGUUUCCAAGUAUGGUAUAAAAGUAUGAACAUCGGAUCAGUCUGAUGUCUUGCACAGGCAUGCUCUAUAUUUAAUCAUCUGGAUGGUGUGUUAUGAUGAUGGUCUGGGGCAGGAAAAAGCUUAUUGGCUCUGAAGACCACAGAUGCAAGCAAUGAAGAAUACAGCCUGUGGGUUUAUCAGUGCAAUAGCCUGGAACAGGCACAAGCAAUUUGCAAAGUUUUAUCUACUGCUUUUGACUCUGUAUUAACAUCUGAGAAAUCUUGAAUUCUGCAAUCAAGUGGAAAUCAACUUCAUCUGAAAGCUCAGCUGGGUUUUGUUUUUUUUUUUAAGCUCAGCUGUUUUCAAUCCAUAAAGUUGAACUGUUAUGGAAAUAGGUGAGCCCCUGCUCUAGACUUUCUGAAGAAAACACAAUGUAUAAAACAUUGAACAUUUGUUUUUAUAAUAAAAUGUGUUUUAUGGGGCAGUACCUGUGGCUCAGUUGGUAAGGCGCCGGCCCCAUAUACCGAGGGUGACGGGUUCAAACCCGGCCCCGGCCAAACUGCA
Nycticebus coucang (slow loris) is the source of this 874-nucleotide RNA transcript. It is a transcript of the gene named integrin beta-1-binding protein 1-like, with no coding region annotated. The transcript is spliced from 2 exons. Lineage: Eukaryota; Metazoa; Chordata; Mammalia; Primates; Lorisidae. The record is from RefSeq and is a predicted model, not a curated record.